GUAGCGGAGCAUGUGGUUUAAUUCGAAGCAACGCGAAGAACCUUACCUAAGCUUGACAUCCCAAUGACAUCUCCUUAAUCGGAGAGUUCCCUUCGGGGACAUUGGUGACAGGUGGUGCAUGGUUGUCGUCAGCUCGUGUCGUGAGAUGUUGGGUUAAGUCCCGCAACGAGCGCAACCCUUGUCUUUAGUUGCCAUCAUUAAGUUGGGCACUCUAGAGAGACUGCCAGGGAUAACCUGGAGGAAGGUGGGGAUGACGUCAAAUCAUCAUGCCCCUUAUGCUUAGGGCUACACACGUGCUACAAUGGGUAGUACAGAGGGUUGCCAAGCCGUAAGGUGGAGCUAAUCCCUUAAAGCUACUCUCAGUUCGGAUUGUAGGCUGAAACUCGCCUACAUGAAGCUGGAGUUACUAGUAAUCGCAGAUCAGAAUGCUGCGGUGAAUGCGUUCCCGGGUCUUGUACACACCGCCCGUCACACCACGGGAGUUGGAGACGCCCGAAGCCGAUUAUCUAACC
RNAcentral lists this ribosomal RNA (512 nucleotides) under Clostridioides difficile. RNAcentral's name for it is "bacterial SSU rRNA". It matches the Rfam family "Bacterial small subunit ribosomal RNA", at positions 929 to 1440 of the family's 1533-position model. Lineage: Bacteria; Bacillati; Bacillota; Clostridia; Peptostreptococcales; Peptostreptococcaceae. The record is from RNAcentral.